Molecule: ribosomal RNA, 253 nt
Filed under: uncultured bacterium
Lineage: Bacteria
Description: partial 16S ribosomal RNA
Rfam family: Bacterial small subunit ribosomal RNA
Source: RNAcentral
UACGUAGGUCCCGAGCGUUGUCCGGAUUUAUUGGGUUUAAAGGGAGCGUAGGCGGGUUGUUAAGUCAGUUGUGAAAGUUUGCGGCUCAACCGUAAAAUUGCAGUUGAUACUGGCAUCCUUGAGUACAGUAGAGGUAGGCGGAGUUCGUGGUGUAGCGGUGAAAUGCUUAGAUAUCACGAAGAACUCCGAUUGCGAAGGCAGCCUGCUGGACUGCAACUGACGCUGAUGCUCGAAAGUGUGGGUAUCAAACAGG